GGAGGGAUGGCCGAGCGGUUUAAGGCACAGGUCUUGAAAACCUGCGUGGGGUUACACUCCACCGUGGGUUCGAAUCCCACUCCCUCCG
RNAcentral lists this transfer RNA (88 nucleotides) under Planctomycetaceae bacterium. RNAcentral's name for it is "tRNA-Ser". It matches the Rfam family "tRNA". From Rfam's summary of the family: Transfer RNA (tRNA) molecules are approximately 80 nucleotides in length. Their secondary structure includes four short double-helical elements and three loops (D, anti-codon, and T loops). RNAcentral also lists the same sequence under 1 other name. The record is from RNAcentral. Lineage: Bacteria; Pseudomonadati; Planctomycetota; Planctomycetia; Planctomycetales; Planctomycetaceae.